This 896-nucleotide ribosomal RNA is filed under the name Salmonella enterica subsp. enterica serovar Montevideo. Its description in RNAcentral is "partial 23S ribosomal RNA". It matches the Rfam family "Bacterial large subunit ribosomal RNA", at positions 583 to 1484 of the family's 2925-position model. Lineage: Bacteria; Pseudomonadati; Pseudomonadota; Gammaproteobacteria; Enterobacterales; Enterobacteriaceae. The record is from RNAcentral.
CUUUGGGGUGUGACUGCGUACCUUUUGUAUAAUGGGUCAGCGACUUAUAUUCUGUAGCAAGGUUAACCGAAUAGGGGAGCCGGAGGGAAACCGAGUCUUAACCGGGCGUUAAGUUGCAGGGUAUAGACCCGAAACCCGGUGAUCUAGCCAUGGGCAGGUUGAAGGUUGGGUAACACUAACUGGAGGACCGAACCGACUAAUGUUGAAAAAUUAGCGGAUGACCUGUGGCUGGGGGUGAAAGGCCAAUCAAACCGGGAGAUAGCUGGUUCUCCCCGAAAGCUAUUUAGGUAGCGCCUCGUGAAUUCAUCUCCGGGGGUAGAGCACUGUUUCGGCUAGGGGGCCAUCCCGGCUUACCAACCCGAUGCAAACUGCGAAUACCGGAGAAUGUUAUCACGGGAGACACACGGCGGGUGCUAACGUCCGUCGUGAAGAGGGAAACAACCCAGACCGCCAGCUAAGGUCCCAAAGUCAUGGUUAAGUGGGAAACGAUGUGGGAAGGCCCAGACAGCCAGGAUGUUGGCUUAGAAGCAGCCAUCAUUUAAAGAAAGCGUAAUAGCUCACUGGUCGAGUCGGCCUGCGCGGAAGAUGUAACGGGGCUAAACCAUGCACCGAAGCUGCGGCAGCGACGCUGAUGCGUUGUUGGGUAGGGGAGCGUUCUGUAAGCCUGCGAAGGUGGCCUGUGAGGGUUGCUGGAGGUAUCAGAAGUGCGAAUGCUGACAUAAGUAACGAUAAAGCGGGUGAAAAGCCCGCUCGCCGGAAGACCAAGGGUUCCUGUCCAACGUUAAUCGGGGCAGGGUGAGUCGACCCCUAAGGCGAGGCCGAAAGGCGUAGUCGAUGGGAAACGGGUUAAUAUUCCCGUACUUGGUGUUACUGCGAAGGGGGGACGGAGAAGGCUA